GAUGAACGCUGGCGGCGUGCCUAAUACAUGCAAGUCGAGCGAACGGACGAGAAGCUUGCUUCUCUGAUGUUAGCGGCGGACGGGUGAGUAACACGUGGAUAACCUACCUAUAAGACUGGGAUAACUUCGGGAAACCGGAGCUAAUACCGGAUGAUAUUUUGAACCGCAUGGUUCAAAAGUGAAAGACGGUCUUGCUGUCACUUAUAGAUGGAUCCGCGCUGCAUUAGCUAGUUGGUAAGGUAACGGCUUACCAAGGCAACGAUGCAUAGCCGACCUGAGAGGGUGGUCGGCCACACUAGAACUGAGACACGGUCCAGACUCCUACUGGAGGCAGCAGUAGGGAAUCUUCCGCAAUGGGCGAAAGCCUGACGGAGCAACGCCGCGUGAGUGAUGAAGGUCUUCGGAUCGUAAAACUCUGUUAUUAGGGAAGAACAUAUGUGUAAGUAACUGUGCACAUCUUGACGGUACCUAAUCAGAAGGCCACGGCUAACUACGUG
RNAcentral lists this ribosomal RNA (497 nucleotides) under uncultured bacterium. RNAcentral's name for it is "partial 16S ribosomal RNA". It matches the Rfam family "Bacterial small subunit ribosomal RNA", at positions 28 to 507 of the family's 1533-position model. The record is from RNAcentral.